CUGGGAGCCAAAAGAGCAAGUCAGGGAACUAGCUUUGGUUGGGUUCGGUGGUACACAAAGCACAAGGCCUGGGUUGGGGUUAGGAGGAAAUGAGACUUGCGGCGGGUCGGGGCUGAAGAUGUGGCAGCGCCCUGAACCUGGAGAAAGGCUGGUACGUAAACGCCUGCGUCGCAAUCUGGAGUCAGCUGGAGUGUCCCGGCAGGAAUCAAAGCCCUUUGGAGAAAUGGCUGAUUCUAACAUUGGGCCAGGAAAUAUGCAACAUGGAUAUACAAUAAGCCUAAAGCAUCUUGUGAUGCCCGAAAUUAAGGAAGUUCACCAAAUAAAAAAGGACAAAAAUUGAUACUGAUGGAGGUAUGUCAAAGAAACAGAGACACAGGGACCAGCUGAAAAAGUUCCUAGUGGCCAAAGCUGAAAGAAUUUGAGCAACAAAAUAAGUAGUAUUGGAUUAUAACUUGAGGUAUCAAAUAAAUAUCUACAGGCCCAUACUGAUAAUACAAAUAAAUAAUGAAAAUUUGUUAGUAAAUAAAUGGAGGAGAAGAGAAAAAUAUCCCGUGCAGAAGAACUGGAAAUAAUUCAUGUAGCUACUCUGUCCUCAAGGAGGUGGAGCAUAGCUCCCCACUCCUUGUGGGUUGUGAAUAAUGACUUCCUUCCAAAGAGUACAGUAUGAAAACAGGAGAAGAAAGGAGUAACUUUGUGG
This 697-nucleotide long non-coding RNA is filed under the name Pan troglodytes (chimpanzee). RNAcentral describes it as "long non-coding RNA NONPTRT012111". The record is from RNAcentral. Lineage: Eukaryota; Metazoa; Chordata; Mammalia; Primates; Hominidae.